GAGAUCAGAUAAUGUGUCAAACAACAAUGGAGUGUACAAUCUUUCAGCCAAAUAAACACUUGAAUAAGAAAAGCAAAAUUACAAGGAAGAAUCUGUAUUUUCAUUAUAUUGUUGACUAUUGUAUUUUUUAUAGGCACUGCAAAGUUGACUCUUAAUGCUUUGGGUUUUUUUUUUCUUCAGCUCUGAUUUAUUUAUUUUUAUUUUAAUCUUACUUGUAUUGUCAC
This 224-nucleotide long non-coding RNA is filed under the name Gossypium raimondii (Peruvian cotton). RNAcentral's name for it is "long non-coding RNA (GRAI_LNC006784)". Lineage: Eukaryota; Viridiplantae; Streptophyta; Magnoliopsida; Malvales; Malvaceae. The record is from RNAcentral.